GCGGGAAUAGCUCAGUUGGUAGAGCACGACCUUGCCAAGGUCGGGGUCGCGAGCUCGAGUCUCGUUUCCCGCUCCA
This 76-nucleotide transfer RNA is filed under the name Pseudomonas aeruginosa. RNAcentral describes it as "tRNA-Gly". It matches the Rfam family "tRNA". From Rfam's summary of the family: Transfer RNA (tRNA) molecules are approximately 80 nucleotides in length. Their secondary structure includes four short double-helical elements and three loops (D, anti-codon, and T loops). Lineage: Bacteria; Pseudomonadati; Pseudomonadota; Gammaproteobacteria; Pseudomonadales; Pseudomonadaceae. The record is from RNAcentral. RNAcentral also lists the same sequence under 3 other names.